GGUUUAAGUUUUAGCUCAGCUGGUACAGUACCAGCUUUUAACCGUAUGGUCGUGGGUUCGAUUCCCACACAGACGGCG
Non-coding RNA from Thalictrum thalictroides, 78 nucleotides. The record is from the annotation of a GenBank genome assembly. Lineage: Eukaryota; Viridiplantae; Streptophyta; Magnoliopsida; Ranunculales; Ranunculaceae.